This 464-nucleotide long non-coding RNA is filed under the name Gallus gallus (chicken). Its description in RNAcentral is "long non-coding RNA NONGGAT004665". The record is from RNAcentral. Lineage: Eukaryota; Metazoa; Chordata; Aves; Galliformes; Phasianidae.
CGAAAGUAAAGUGAAGAGACAAAGCCCACCAGCACACAUGGAGGACUUCUGUCUUCAGAUUCUUCUUCACUACUGGACAGCACCUCUAAAAUCGGAUGUGCUGAGAUUCAUAGGAAGGAGCCAGUAGGAAUCGGAACAAUGUCAUUCCUAUAAAAAGGAGGAAAAAAAAUAUACAAAAGCAGAACAUGGGAAUCAAGAUAGAAUGUGGAAAACAGCUUUUCAUUGUCCACUGCAAACAAAUGAAGGAGCAAUAUCAUCACUUCUGCAGGUCAUCAUGUGCAAGAAGAUCGAAAACAUUUCUUGAGCAGAGCAUAUCGUGGGAGUGAAUGGAGGAGCACAAAACGAUAUCUUCUAUCUGAUAGAUAAGACCUGCCAGGUCUGAAGAUGCAAGUACCAAGGCAUAGCUUAGAGUAGCCCUAAAGCUUCUUUAAGUUGUGCUUGGAAAACAGUUGUUGGACUUGAAG